Molecule: ribosomal RNA, 467 nt
Filed under: uncultured bacterium
Lineage: Bacteria
Description: partial 16S ribosomal RNA
Rfam family: Bacterial small subunit ribosomal RNA
Source: RNAcentral
GACGAACGCUGGCGGCGUGCUUAACACAUGCAAGUCGAACGGAAAGGCCCUGCUUUUGCGGGGUGCUCGAGUGGCGAACGGGUGAGUAACACGUGAGUAACCUGCCCUUGACUUUGGGAUAACUUCAGGAAACUGGGGCUAAUACCGGAUAGGAGCUCCUGCUGCAUGGUGGGGGUUGGAAAGUUUCGGCGGUUGGGGAUGGACUCGCGGCUUAUCAGCUUGUUGGUGGGGUAGUGGCUUACCAAGGCUUUGAGGGGUAGCCGGCCUGAGAGGGUGACCGGCACCAUGGGACUGAGGUACGGACCAGACUCCUACCGGGGGCAACGGUGGGGAAUAUUGCCCAAUGGGCCGGAGCCCGAGGCGACAACGCCGGGGUCGGGAAGACCGCCUUUGGGGUGUAAACCGCUUUCGGCUUUUACCAAGCGUUAGUGACGGUAAUGGGUAAAGAAGCACCGGCUAACUACGUG